UGAGGUUUGUUGGGAGGCCAUCCCUCCCAAUGCAAACCAAGGAUGUGCCAGCGUCCCUUCAGAAAUGCCCGAAAAGGGGUUCCAGAUUUCCAGUGAAAAAUUGGCAGGAAAGCUGCAUCACAAGUUUGAGCAAGCUGUGGGGGGACUUUGCAGGCAAACUUCUCAAUGUAUCUCUUUCUAGCUGCAGACUUGUGUCCUACACGCGACGAGGCUUUUGUAACUACACUUUAUAUUGGUGGUGCUUGCUGUAAAUAAAUUUUUCCAGGCACUUUUUCUUUGUCUUGGUGUAAUUUCACUCGAGAGCAACCUGCAUCAUUUACUUGAAAGCUGAGCCCACAUUAAGCGCAAGACAGGAUAUUGAACUAGUGCUCAGCUGUGAAGAAAUAACUUAGCUAAGAAAAUGUUUGAGAGUGAACUGUACCUUCUUAACAGCACGUCUAUUUAAGGGGCCAGAACACCAAAUUUUUAAACUGGAGUUGUGCAUUGGAUGUUAAACCGUACAUGUCGAACUACUAGUUGGCAAAAACUUGUGUCCAUUCAGUGCUUUAGAAAAUUUGAAUUUUUUUAUAUUGCAGUUGAACCAUACAGCAUUUGGCAAAAAAAAAUGAAAUCAUACCCCCGGAAACUGCUCUCUCAGAGCAAUGAAAUCUUAUCUCAUCUACUGGUGAUUUUUAUUGUGCAAGUGAGGGAAUUGUGGGCACAAUUCAAUGACAAUGCCCUUGCUAUGCUGUUGGCUGCCAGAGCGUGUGCAGUGAAAUGUUCCGUGUGGUCUUGGAACUGUUUCGAGCAGACUACACAGUGGUGGCCCCUUACUCCUUGGCGUUGUACAGUUGAUGCAAAAAUGCCGCUCGUCAGUGGGAAGCAGGGUGUUGUAAUGAAAUGUUUUUUGUUCUGGUUUUAGUUUCAUUCCACUGAAAAACAUUCCGCUCCGGAAUGGGGGAAAAAAAUGAUCCCUAAUUUUGCAUUCAGGAGCCUGGAUCUCGACAUGUCAAGUCCCCAUUGUGAUGUAGCCCACAUUGUUAUGCUAUAUAUCCUUUGCAAAGUGGCCGAAGCUGAUUACUGCUGUGCUUUUGCUAUAGGCUGGCGAAAACAAGCAACAAAUGACUUUUUCCCUUUCCCUUGGAUUGAUGUUCCCUCACAGCUUGACGUCAAGAACCAUGCCCCUGAAUGCGAAAUUAGCUGACUGUCAAAUUUGAUAUCUCUGAACACAAGCACUCCAGGAGAAUCAAAUCAGUGUGUUGUCUUCAAAUGCGAUUGUCUUGAUGUUUCAAAUAUAAACUUGUACCAUAAUUGUGACAGCAGAAAGGUGAAUUAAGAAGUUUUUGUUACCUAUGUAUUUGACGACUAAUUGUUCACAGAAAUUGUCCUCGAAAGUGUGUAAAAUGCUUGUGCAAACAGAUUCCGCGUCGUUCGCAUCAUGUUUUUAUUAAAAUUGCUGUUGGUUUAACGUAU
Dermacentor andersoni is the source of this 1452-nucleotide long non-coding RNA. RefSeq lists it as uncharacterized. NCBI's taxonomy places the organism in Eukaryota, Metazoa, Arthropoda, Arachnida, Ixodida, Ixodidae. The record is from RefSeq and is a predicted model, not a curated record.